GACGAACGCUGGCGGCGUGCUUAACACAUGCAAGUCGAACGGUAAGGCCCUUCGGGGUACACGAGUGGCGAACGGGUGAGUAACACGUGGUGAUCUGCCCUGCACUUCGGGAUAAGCCUGGGAAACUGGGUCUAAUACCGGAUAGGACCAUGGACUUCACGGUUUGUGGUGGAAAGCUUUUGCGGUGUGGGAUGGGCCCGCGGCCUAUCAGCUUGUUGGUGGGGUAAUGGCCUACCAAGGCGACGACGGGUAGCCGGCCUGAGAGGGUGUCCGGCCACACUGGGACUGAGAUACGGCCCAGACUCCUACGGGAGGCAGCAGUGGGGAAUAUUGCACAAUGGGCGCAAGCCUGAUGCAGCGACGCCGCGUGAGGGAUGACGGCC
RNAcentral lists this ribosomal RNA (383 nucleotides) under uncultured bacterium. Its description in RNAcentral is "bacterial SSU rRNA". It matches the Rfam family "Bacterial small subunit ribosomal RNA", at positions 28 to 416 of the family's 1533-position model. The record is from RNAcentral.